GGGGUACGUAGGAUGUAGGCUUUGCCUGCUAUCUCUUACCCAUGUCUUUUGAGUACCUUACGUUUCCUCGGCGGGUCCGCCCGCCGAUUGGACAAUUUAAACCAUUUGCAGUUGCAAUCAGCGUCUGAAAAAACUUAAUAGUUACAACUUUCAACAACGGAUCUCUUGGUUCUGGCAUCGAUGAAGAACGCAGCGAAAUGCGAUAAGUAGUGUGAAUUGCAGAAUUCAGUGAAUCAUCGAAUCUUUGAACGCACAUUGCGCCCCUUGGUAUUCCAUGGGGCAUGCCUGUUCGAGCGUCAUUUGUACCUUCAAGCUCUGCUUGGUGUUGGGUGUUUGUCUCGCCUCUGCGUGUAGACUCGCCUCAAAACAAUUGGCAGCCGGCGUAUUGAUUUCGGAGCGCAGUACAUCUCGCGCUUUGCACUCAUAACGACGACGUCCAAAAGUACAUUUUUACACUCUUGACCUCGGAUCAGGUAGGGAUACCCGCUGAACUUAAG
RNAcentral lists this ribosomal RNA (497 nucleotides) under Phoma sp. HL83. RNAcentral describes it as "eukaryotic LSU rRNA". The stretch from base 146 to 299 matches the Rfam family "5.8S ribosomal RNA". Lineage: Eukaryota; Fungi; Ascomycota; Dothideomycetes; Pleosporales; Didymellaceae. The record is from RNAcentral.